Molecule: long non-coding RNA, 2134 nt
Organism: Drosophila simulans
Lineage: Eukaryota; Metazoa; Arthropoda; Insecta; Diptera; Drosophilidae
Exons: 2
Source: RefSeq, a predicted model, not a curated record
ACAACAACGUAACGUACUGCAACCUAUGUGGGAGCGAGACGGGGACUCACUGUGCUUAUUAAAUAGUCAGUCUUUUUCUCUCUCCUAUACAAAUUGCGGGCGUAUCAUCAUGGCACAAGAAAACCAUAGUUUUGUGACGUAUUAUUAAGCAGAUAUGUUUGUAAUUGAAAUGAAUAAAUGCCCUCUAUAUUUCCAGCAGCAGCCAUUCAACCGAAUCCGUUUGUCUCUUUCCAUUGUGCUCUCUUCUCUCCGCUCUCCUCACCAAUCGCUUUAUUACACGUUUUAUGUUUUAUCAUUUCACACACAACCACUCCAACCAUCCACGAAUAAUCACACGCACACAAACUUUUUGGAUGUGUGCGCGCAAAGCUAACGGGUGGGAGGGAGAGGUUGCGCCAAGAACCGUUACGACAGCGCGUGCUUGUUGUUGGUCUUUUUGCUGUUGCCAAGAGUGAAUGAUAUAUUAUUGUUGUAUGGCAGCAAAUGAAACUGUACAAUGAGCGACAGUGGGCAAGGAGAAGAAGCAUAGAGAGCGCGAUAGAGGGGGAGAUAUGAACUACACAAAAGCGAAACUUACGUAAACACGCAUGUCUACGCAUCGGUGUGUGUGUGUGUGUGUUUGUGUCUGCGAUGGUGUGUUGUUUCUAGUUUUUCGUAAAGGAGAAGUAGAAAAUCAAGUUUCUAUCGAUGGAAUGAUUCAUAUUUCGUAGCAUGAUUCGCUCAGACUAAUAAACAAUCUCCAUUUGUCAUGGGACUUUUGCUGACACUUAUUUUUCCCAUUAAUUAGGCGAUAUGAGUAAGAGAUUUGCAAUUGUUGGUGAUGCAACUUUCGCUGCCGCUGAAAUUAUUUUGCAAAAAAUGUAAUAAAUUGGAUUUUCAAGUGGCCAUUACACGAAUCAUUCGCUUGGAAAAAAUAAAUGUAGAUAUUCGAAAUGGCAUGUUAACAACUCGAUUAGAGAUAUUAUAUUUGCCCAGAAUACACAAUGUUCGAGUUAAUUGCGUUUGGACCUUGGAAAUUCACACAAUUACUAUUACUAUUCGCAAUGUAUAAUUUAUUUUUUGCAUUCGAAACUUUGACUUUGCAGUCCGGAGUCGAGCCACUCUAUCUCUCUCUAACGCCUGCAGCAGCUGACCUUGAGAACGAGACAAAGCAAAGCCGACGAGCAAACAAAGCGUUCAGAAAGAGACAGGCAAACAGACUACCUGUGUAUAUCUACAGUCCGACUACUAUAACUCGAAAUAAUAAUCCUACAUUGUACAACGAUAGUCAAUAGGUACACUAUAGUAACCACUAGUUACUAAUAGCGAACAUUAGAACGAUUCGUUCUAUCCAAUUACAAUUUACAUGAAUAAAAACUUUAUAUCUGUAAUCAUAACUAUACUUAAUAGUUAGCUAAAAUUGCAAACACAAUUAAGGGAAGUUAUGGUUCAAGUUAAGUAAUUGGAAGUUAUGACAGUUGAAUUAAAAACAAACCCCAUCACUCUAAAACGGAAGUGACUCUCAAGCGAUAAAAGCAUUUUAGAAAGUUCUGCUUUCGGGAGUCUUACUGUAGUAUAUGCCCAUACUUGUUACUCAUUAGCAGCGACAUCCACAUCCCCCGAACCGAACCCCUUCCUCCAGCAGCCAUCCGGGUUGAUUCCACAUCAGUUGCUAAGCUGAAAUGACGCCAUCUUGCAUUUGACGAUCUUCCAAGCUAGUUUUACAAUAAACCAAUAGAACUGAACUAGCUAAUGCCCGUCCCACUCCUGAUCUUUGCUCGGUGUGUAAUUAUCAGCCAAUCCAGUCCUUCAGCUGCCCCUUGCAACUUUGCGGUGCGGCUUCCACUCGCUAACUCACAUCUUGGCAUUUAAUAAGAAGUUGGCCUUGAAGGCAGCCAGUUUCAAAUCUCUGAGUUCUGAGUUUCUCAGUUUCGCAGCCGCACUUCGGCUCCAGUGUGUGAUUAAUGGGGGAUUCUUGCGGUUGGAGCAGCCUCUGCCUUUUGCUUUGAAUUAGACUUUGGCUCCAGUGAAGCUUUGGAUGCAGGAAGGGGCUAAGUGAAGUUCCAUAAAGAAGUUUAUGUUUUAAAAACUACCAUAUGGCUGCUUAGUAAUGAAAAUCUAGAAUAAUUAAAUAAAACGUCAUUUUUAUUUUGUA